RNAcentral lists this long non-coding RNA (1352 nucleotides) under Brassica napus (rape). RNAcentral describes it as "long non-coding RNA (BNAP_LNC024010)". Lineage: Eukaryota; Viridiplantae; Streptophyta; Magnoliopsida; Brassicales; Brassicaceae. The record is from RNAcentral.
UGAUUCCGAUUGAGGACCGUGACCGGGCGAUUCCCGAGCGCCUACGCCUGUGCGGCGAGUCCAAUAGGGGACCGGGGCACAGCGAUUCCGAUUGAGGACCGUGACUGGGCGAUUCCCGAGCAUCUAUGCCUGUGUGGUGUAAUAGUGAAGGGAUUGUCGGUGUCCCUUAUGUGGAGGAAGAAUGAUUCUGUUGGGCCCUAGGAGUAUAUAUAUAUAUAUGGUUGAUACACUAAAAUUGGAUCUUUGUCUACUGUCAAGUUAACAGUGUAGUUUUAAUAUGUUUAGAUUCAAUUCCAGAGGACCAAUUUACACUUUAUCUCUAUGGGAUCAGAAUUAAGCUAAAACAAAGUGGGGAUUUAAAAGAUGUAAAUAACGUAAAGAACAAAUAACUAGAUUAGGUUGUUUUCGAAUUGGUUUAAAGCGCUAGUCUAGGGUUUCUUCUCCAGAUAAGGAGCUCGUAAGCCAAGCUAUUACUCAAGUUCAAUUAAUCAGCAAGCCUAAACUCGGAUCACUCAUGUAGAAUGGAUCCAUUCUCGUGGUAUCGAUUUCUUUACAAGUCGGUCUUGAUACCUAAACUCUCGUUUGGGUCAAGACGCGCGAGCAAGCCUUAGAGAUCAAGUCCGAUAGGUUCACAAUGCACUCUAAUAUCUACUCUCGCUGACUAGGGAUGCAAAGCUCAUUCAAAUCAUGUCAAGUUAUCAAUCAACGGCUAGCUAAAUUGAUUAACCCUAGUUCAUGCACUAAGUGAUCAGUUUGAUGCAAGCAAUAAGAACAGAUAUGAAUGUAGACAAUCUUUAGAUAACUUAUUUAAACUUAGCUCACGAUUCCAAACCCUAAGAACCCCUAAACUAACUGGGUGACUACUCAGACAUUACACAAGAACAGAGAACCAUGAUUUCUGAAUAAUACUGCGUAAUAAUAAAUCAUGGUAACAAGAGGGUUCAGGAUAAUCUUCUCUCUGAGAUAGAUGGAGCCGUCUCCCUUACAAUGGCAAAUCGCCAAAUUCAAAGCUCUCUAGUCUUUCUUGCGUAAAAACUAAGGUAGGUCUAAAGUAAUAAAUAGGAAACUAUAUAUAUUGGAACCACAGGCGGCUAAAGGAAAGAAAUAGGAAAUCUAGGGCAAAUCCCGAAAUAAUUGGAAACUUCCUUUUUAUUCUUUGUCGCUGGAACAUGCACUCAGGCUGCUCCGCAUGGCUGUUCCGUGUAAAAGACCCCAAAUCAUACUUUUCUCUCUUCUUUUCCUCUAGAUGGUCCAUUUCCCAUCCAAUGCAAUUCCAGACCUGUUUUGACUCGAGAAGGACUAAACAGACUCGAUAAAACCUUGAAAACUAUUAGUAAAUCAUACAUAUAAUG